GACAGAGGUGCCGAGCGUUAGGCGGAAUCACUGGGCUUAAAGCGUGUGUAGGCGGAUCGUUAAGUACCUUGUGAAAUCCCACGGCUCAACCGUGGAACGGCUGGGUAUACUGGCGAUCUUGAGCGAUCUAGGGGCAGAUGGAACAAGUGGUGGAGCGGUGAAAUGCGUAGAUAUCACUUGGAACGCCAAAGGUGAAGACAGUCUGCUGGGGAUCUGCUGACGCUGAGACACGAAAGCCAGGGGAGCGAACAGGAUUAGAUACCCUGGUAGUCC
This 273-nucleotide ribosomal RNA is filed under the name uncultured bacterium. RNAcentral's name for it is "partial 16S ribosomal RNA". It matches the Rfam family "Bacterial small subunit ribosomal RNA", at positions 524 to 796 of the family's 1533-position model. The record is from RNAcentral.